Long non-coding RNA from Capsicum annuum, 293 nucleotides. RefSeq lists it as uncharacterized. The record is from RefSeq and is a predicted model, not a curated record. NCBI's taxonomy places the organism in Eukaryota, Viridiplantae, Streptophyta, Magnoliopsida, Solanales, Solanaceae. The transcript is spliced from 3 exons.
AAACUCUGCAAAUGGCUGACUCAUCUAUUGUUAGCUUUGGAGCAUCUGCAUUCCAACCGCGUUCAUCAUAGAGACCUCAAGUUAUGUAACAUAUUCAUCACAAAGGACAACAACAUCAGGUUAGGUAAGAAUGCCCGAACAAUUGCUUGAUUGGGUCGUCUUUGCUUCUUUACUAUCCUUCAAAUUCACUUGAUUGUCACAGGUGAUUUUGGAUUAGGAAAAUUGCUAGAUGCAGAAGGCCUUGCUUCCUCGGUAUCUGGCGCACCAAAUGACAUAUUCCUUGAGCUUCUUGC